CGCCGGGCGCGGCCGGAGACGGGCCGGCGCGGGGCGGAUCAAGGAGAUGCGGCAGAUCUUUGCAACUGCGGUUUUAUGAUUCAUAUUUUCGGGAACUGAAAGUUUCCUCAUCACCUCAAGGGUAUUGUUGCAGCAACCGCGAGCUGGCUAUGCGCGACUCAGCUCAGUCAGCUGGGAAGCGAUGCCAGAAAUAGUCCAGGCCCCUUGCGUUGGUGGUGGAUGCCUGCAUAAAAGUUGCUCAUGAUGUGUGGAACCGCAGCUCCGUCAAUCACUAGGAUUGGAUACAACAUGGUCAUUUAUGUGGUGGAGAGGGAGUCCUGGAGGUCAUCGUCAACCAGAGAUUGCUAAUGUUCUUUCCUGAGGCAAAUGAGGUUACUAUUGCAAGACAUACAACCUUUGUGCCAUUGUUUAUAUUUGUAAGUGGAUGUAUCCCUUUGUUAGAGCUCAUGCUCCAUUGAUUACCUUUAAUAGGGAGCUAGAAACUCUUAUCCUGUAAUUCCAUGUUUGUAGAUUUGACAAUUGAUUAGACUUCUAUAUUGGGACGUUGCAAGAGGGAUUAUUUUCCUUCCGUAGUAUUGUUCGACUCAUAUCUUUUUAUUUUACAUUUUUCAGCAUUUUUUGCUUAAUCUUUGUCAUUUUUGGAUCUUGGUAAGGUUUGGAGCGUAUCAAACCUUUGCAUUUAUGGUAACCCUUUUAAUUACUAAAAAUAAUGGAGUUUUCCAUUCUGUGAGUUUCUAUUUUUAUUUCCCUGGAUGUCGAGUUAGUUUUGGUGAGGCCGGUUCAGGCCCGAUCCAUUGCCUCCUUCAUGCUCCAGACCAAGCUCUCCAUCAAGCCAAGUGGCGGGUGAAGCUGGAGCCAGAGCGCACGCCAAGUGACGGCGACAGCCGGACGCGGCAGCGGCGGUAGGCAGCGUGCGCCAAGUGACGGGGCGGGUGGAUGCCGCAGCAGCAGCUCCCCCUCCCCCUUCUCUUCAUCUCUCUAAUGGAAAUAUCAGAGCUUAUACCUGGAUAAAGGUAUGAAGAAUCUGAUGGCAAUUGAUCCCCCGUUGGUCACCGCUGGUCGGGAGCGUCGCCGUGCGAAGAGCAGGUGGGGCCGCAUCAGCCGUCGCCUUGGGUCCUGCCGCUCCUCCCCAAUCUCCCGCCUCGACGUGUAGAGGGGUCGAAGCUGUGAGGGAUGCAACAUUGGCGGGCGGGCAUUCACUGGAGGGGUGCGUCCUGGAGGAGGGUGGCGGCGUUCCAGUGAGAGGCCCUGGGUUGGGAGGAGAGGACGUGGGAGGAGGACGAGAAGGGGUGAGGGCGCUCGACCCCGCCGCCCAGCAACGCCGACGGCCAACAUCUACAGUGACGCCGCUAGGGUUGGGCGACACCUCCAUCGGAGAUCCCUAUCGAAGCUUGCACAGGCUCCGCGUAGCCGCCGCCAGCACCUCCUCGUUCCUGUGGGCAGUGCCAUCAAGGACAUCUCCCCCAAGCGUGGUCUCCACCAGCAGCACCCCCUGGCGCUCGCACGGGAACCGGCCGGCACGUCCGUCUUCACCAGGCCAAGAAAGAUUAGGGUUUGGGUGUCCAGGAGAUUCACUGACAGCAGCACCAGCCAUCAUUGGUUUUUAUGGACUCCAUGGCUGUUGUAAGAGGAAUGGAGCAAAAGGGUGAUUUUUUUGGUGGGUCUGAUCGUUGUUGUUCUGCUUGAUUACCACAACAAUAGGGUUGCUCCCUCCUGCAAAGUAUCGACCACAUCUAUGCCUCCCUCCACAUCCUCUCCUCCAUUUAUAUCUACAUAUUUUUUUGUGCCAUAUAAUAAAAGGUGAAGAGCGGCGCUAGGGAACCACGCCUAGGAGCAUGCUCAUGGUGGUACCUACAUCGCAACAAUGCAUGGUUACGGAUGUCCUCAGCCCGAGCUAGGCUUCCUUGUCGAUGACUUGCCAUCUACAGCAUCUCUGCAGGAUUGUUGCUUGGUUGGAUAUAGAAACAAAUGAAGAUGUGGAAAGGAUUCUUGAGGGGAACAGUUCAUCACGGGGCGCUGUUUCCAGGGGCAAAUUGCGGUGUUGGUGUUGCUUCACAGGUUUGGUGAGAUACUUCACGUGUUACUGUUAUCAUUGUUGUGCAUUGCCCAUGUUAAACUUUUGCUCUUUUACGCUGAGGGGUUGCCGUGGGAACCGCAUCGGCUCUGUUUUCUGCUUAUUGUGUGUGCUCUGUUGACCACAUAGUGGCUGCUUCAUUUCUUCUUCUGUUCCUUGACAUGUGCGGUGAUCGGUUUGCUUUGUGUGUUGUCCAAUCUGUUCUAGCUAUCAAGUUUGAUUACCGGUGAUAUGUAAUACCCAAUUGGUCUAUAGCCAAAUCACUUGGGUGGGCACAUGAUAUGUAUGCCACCUAGCAACAGAAUAGCCUGUAUUGACACAUCUUCACUGC
Long non-coding RNA from Lolium rigidum, 2405 nucleotides. RefSeq lists it as uncharacterized. The transcript is spliced from 12 exons. The record is from RefSeq and is a predicted model, not a curated record. NCBI's taxonomy places the organism in Eukaryota, Viridiplantae, Streptophyta, Magnoliopsida, Poales, Poaceae.